This 777-nucleotide long non-coding RNA is filed under the name Citrus x clementina. RNAcentral describes it as "Citrus clementina (C. clementina) long non-coding RNA (CCLE_LNC004008)". The record is from RNAcentral. Lineage: Eukaryota; Viridiplantae; Streptophyta; Magnoliopsida; Sapindales; Rutaceae.
AACAUUUUUAUACAAAAAUAGCCAAAAAAAUUAGUCAUUUUUCAACUUUAACCCUUCAAACUUUUUUCUAUCAUAACUAGCCAAACACCCUAUUUUUGGACUACAUUACCCUCAUCAUUUUCAUCAAAUUUACAAAGGCAUGCCACUUUCCCUUAUUAAUUCCAGCACUUCCACCAUUUUUUCCUUUUCAACUUAACAAAUUUCAUCACUCAACAAACUCCAUUACUCUCAAUAAAUUAGCAAAUUUCAUCAAACAAGUAUUACAUAAUUGAAGAUAUAAUUAUCAAUUGGAAAGCUUCUUAAGGUUAGUUUAUACUCUUACCAUAACCUAAACUUUUAAUCUAUUGAUUUUAUCAUUUGAGUUCGAAAUUGAUGUGAGUUUUUAUUGCAAAUGUUGUUAUUUUUCAUUAACAAAACAAUGUGACUUGUUAAAGUAGUUAGUUUGAGUUGAGAAAUGAAAAUCAAUCAUUGAAACCCCUGAAAAAUCGAGUGAAACAGAAGCCCAGAACAAGUGAGACAGGCACCUGUCUCACAUAAAUCUACUGGUUUUAUGUGAGACAGGCACCUGUCUCACUUGCCUGUCUCACCAAAAUAUGUGCGACAGGCAAGUGGGAUAGGCGUGUGAGACAGGCGCCUGUCUCACUUGUUACCACUGGUUUUAUGUGAGACAGGCAAGUGAGACAGGCGCCUGUCUCACUUGUUACCACUGGUUUUAUGUGAGACAGGCAAGUGAGACAGGCGCCUGUCUCACUUGUUACCACUGGUUUUAUGUGAGAC